RNAcentral lists this long non-coding RNA (11120 nucleotides) under Panax ginseng (ginseng). Its description in RNAcentral is "long non-coding RNA (PGIN_LNC009632)". The record is from RNAcentral. Lineage: Eukaryota; Viridiplantae; Streptophyta; Magnoliopsida; Apiales; Araliaceae.
UCUAUAAUAAUUUAUUAAUACAGAUAUUCAACGAAAAAGAGGGAGAUCGAUCAAGGGUAAGUUCAAAAAGAGCCUUAAUUUGGUAGAGAAUUUAAUUAACUAACCGUUAAUUGGCGAGAAUACUGUUGAAUAAGAAGUUGUGCAUACUGGUCUGGAGAAUAUUUGAGGCUUGUUGUGGGAUAGAAUGAUGGGAGAAAGUAAUUGUUAAUGUAAUCGUUACUUCCCAUACCAACUGUAUAUAUGCAUUUCCUUAGGUGCUCCUUUGAUUUUCUUCUUCCUAGUAAGGAUAUAAUACUUGAAACUGAGGUUUUAUGAUUUCCCAAUUGCCUAUCCAAGCUGAUCCGACCACCCUGCAUGUGAGGAAACAACAAGAAGCGUAGGCAACAUUUUUUUGUUUACUGUUCUUUAUUUUUUAUGUCCUUAGCUGGCUACUAGAAUUAAUGUUCAAUGGCACUUGUUAAGGUUACAAUAAAUACUUGUUACUGUUAUGCACUAGGCAAUUGUGCUUUUAUUUAAACAAGAAAAAUGAUAGUACUCCACCACAGACUUUUUGUACCAACUUUUCAGCUGACUAGAUACAUAACAAAUUGAAUACUCAUAAUUCACUCCUUUGAGGAUUUCCUGGCCUUUAGCAGUUGCGAACGGGGGAAUGUAAUUCUCAAAACCCAAAAAUUCAGCUGUAAAUUAGUAAGUUUCAUCAAUCAGCAUAAUAAUUCACAAGUAAUACUACUACCAUGUCCAAAAUUAAAAUAAAAAGAAGUAGCACUACAAUAUUUCUAUAUAUGCAAUUGGCAAAAGAAAAUUUAAGAGCAACCUAUGAAAUCCGCGAUAUUUCGACCAUCGGUGAAUCUACCAGUUGGCCCUUUAGGAAAAUCAAUCCCAUAAGGAUAGAAAUCAACCUUGGCUUUACUAUCAAGCCCGUUAUUAUUUCCGUUAUCGAAUAACGAGUCGCCAAAAAUGAAGUAACAAGGGACGUUUUGUUCAUUAUAAACACAUUUUACCAAGUUUAAACUGAAUGAAAUUAUCAACACCAAGCACAAAAUCUUAAUUUCACAUGCCAUUUGAGAAUAAAUUAAAGAGAUAGUAGAGCUAGAAGAAUAAGAUAUUGAAAAAAGAGAAAGCCAUAACAUAUAUAUAUAUAUAUAUAUAUAUAUAUAUAUAGCUCAGCUUUCUCCGACAAACCAAAAGAAGCGAACUAAGAAUGAAUCGGCUAUAGCGACGGUUUUUUUCGCCGCUAUAGCAUAAAAACCCAACUUUCUAUACUAUAGCGACGAAAAAACUCGUCAUUAUAGAUGGUUCUUAGUUCGCUCUCCUAAUUCACUGAAGAAGCGGACUAUAUAUAUAUAUAUAUAGGGGUUCCAUCCACAACAACCGGUGGAGCAACCCCUUUUUUGGCCUGUUGAAAUUUCGGCUGAAGAAAAAAAAAAUUCAACAGGCCAAAAAAAUAGUUGCUCCACAGCAACCGGUUGCUGUGGAUGGAACCCCAUAUAUAUAUAUAUAUAUGUGUGUGUGUGUGUGUGUGUGUGUGGUACGUCCAAUUUAUUCUUACAUUUUUUUGGUGGUACAUACAUCAAAUGUGGAUACAAGUUUGACAGCAAACUCGUGUUUGUUUGAUUCGAUCAAUCAUUCAUGUUGUUGUUCUAUCAGCAUUUAUGAAGCUAUAUACUAGCUAGGGUACUCCAAAACUUUGUGGGGGUACGUAUAUAUAUUUAUAUAAUGUUUGACGAUGAUUGUUAUGGGUUAUCCUUUUAGCCAAGUGUAGAUUUCUCAACUACUUAUGUUUACCUGAUUUUAAUAUAUAGAUUGUUUGUAUAGAACAACAUAAAACUAAAAUUUUAUUUAAAUAAAUUUGUUAAAUGUUGUCUAAUCUAAUUAUCUAUUGGUUUCCCUUUUAACUGCGUUAUGCUUCUUAGGGAUAUUUUCCUUGCUAAACGACGGAUGCCUUGCUUGUUUUUCCUUUUUUAUAAAUUAAUUAAUUAAAAAAACAUUUAACUGUAUUAAAAAAUUUCAUUUUGAGGAAAAUUAAUUCCUAUAUAUUUUCUGAUUACAAAACAAACCUUUAAUUGCUCCCGUGAUACAUAUUUUGGCCACUAGUUACCUACUUGAUCUUAAAGGACAAAAAUGUCAGCAAGUUUUGUGGAGAUUACGGGGAACGACGUACCAUAGCAACUGCAGUGGGACAUUAAAUGUUGGGACACCAGUCUGUAACAUUGAACAUGAUAUAUCUUUUCUAUUUAUUUAUUAAAAAAAAAACAAUUCAUUCUAAUAAUGGACACCUAACAAUCUGUAUCCGAAUUAAAAAAUGAAAAUAACACAUUUAAGUUUAAACUUUUCAAUAUGUGGAAGAAUUAAAGAAAAUAAAAUUAAGCUUGCAUUUCACUUUUAUUACUCGUUUUCUAAUCUCUCCCUAGCUAGGAAUUAGUUACAAGAUUAAAGGUCAAGAAUUAAUCAAGCUUGAACACCUAAUUAUUAGAUUAAUAUACAAAAAUGAGUUUGAUAAUAAAUAUCGCUCUUCAAAACAACACACUUUUAAUAAUUCUCAAAACGACGUGCUCCGUGCCCGAGUCAAGUCAGGCCGAUCGGCGGCACGAGUUCAAACCUAGUCUUGGCUAGGUCCUCUCCCUUCUACAAAAGUGGGGUGCCUCUUGGAGCCCAAACCCAAGAGCAUUUUCCUUGUAUAUAAACAUAUUAAAAUUUUAAUUCCUAACCUAUGUGAGACUUGAUUUUUUCCACAUGUAUUUAUUAUUUUCCAAGUGUGAUCUUUGAGAGUUAAUAUCUCAUUCAUUACUCCAUGGAUUUGAGCUUCCAAAUACUUAAUUUAAUCUACUCAUGGAGUAGAACACAAUAAUAUAUGGAAUCAUUAAAAAUAAUUAAUGACACCCACAUUAAUUUAGGCUCAAAUUCCAACAAUCCCCCACAUGAAUGAUAUUGACUGUCAGCCUUAUGCAAAUGUUAUGCAGACUCUGAGAGAGAGACAUAAUUAGAAAUCAUCUAUAUCAAGAGUGGUAGCUUUUGGCUUUCAACCUUCCCUUAUGAAAAACUAUCGGGUUUACUGGUUGUCCAGUGAACGUGAUGUCUUGAACUGUCCAAUUGUUUGUAUAAAUCGAGACAAUAGUAAUUCACACAGAAUUUUUCUAGACAUUAUUUGGUUCUCAUGAUUUUGUUCAUUUAAUUUGUCCCCAAACAAUUCCGGAUUUAUGAGUUCUUUAGAGAAGUAUAGCAUUAUCCUUCUCAUAGAAUUGGCCCAGUUCACACUCACAUAGGUGAUUCUUAAUAAGAGUAUCAUGUCAUACUCCACAUGUUUAUCGAGAUUUAAGAAUCAUUAAAAGCAUAGCUUAUCCUGUAACCACUGCAGGUAUCACUAUCUCGUAUCAUAGGAAUGAGCAGAAGAAAUUAAUUUCUUCAUAGUGAUUUGGUUGAAUCAUUAACAAUUUAGUCGUCCCUUUAAACCUAGAUCUUGGGAUCUCUAGUCAACUAGGUUGGGUUUCCAUCAUGACGAUCCUUGUUUAUAGGCUUUAAACUCAUUCCCCUCGAACUUAUUUUUACUUGUUCUCUAGUCAAACCUUUAGUCAACAGAUCCGUUAUAUUUUCUUUCGACUUUAUGUACUCAAUAGACAUAAUGCCGUUAGAGAGCAAUUGUUUUAUGGUAUUAUGUCUACGACGAAUAUGUCUAGACUUAACAUUAUACAUGUGACUCUAUGCCCUUCCAAUUGCUGAUUGAUUAUCACAAUGGAUACAAAUAGGCGGCACAGGUUUAGUCCACAUAAGAAUAUCUUCUAAAAAGUUACGAAGCCAUUCAUCUUCUUCUCCAGCCUUAUCCAAUGCAAUAAACUCAGAUUCCAUCUUUGAUCGAGCAAUGCAUGUUUGUUUAGAAGAUUUCCAUGAUACUGCUCCUCCACCUAGUGUAAAUACAAAACUACUAGUGGAUUUAGAGUAUUUUGUAUUCGAUAUCCAAUUUGCAACACAGUAUCCUUCAAGUACUGCUGGAUAUCUUGAGUAGUGCAAUCCAAAAUUUUGAGUAUAUUUUAAAUACCUUAAAACUCUUAUAAUUGCUUUCCAGUGAUCUUGUCCUGGAUUGCUUGUAAAUCUACUCAAUUUAUUGACAGUUUGUGCUAUGUCAGGACGUGUAUAAUUCAUUAAGUACAUAAGGCUUCCAAUUAUUUGUGCAUACUCAGGUUGUGAUACGAUCUCUCCUUUAUUUUUAGACAAGUGUAGAUUUAUAUCUACCGAUUUCUUGAGUAUUUUCUCAAUAUAGUGUGAUUGUGAUAACACUAAUCCAUCCGAUGUUUUAGAAAUUUUAAUUCCUAAUAUUACAUUUGCAAUUAACACCCAUGUCUUUCAUGUCAAAUAAAUUAUUUAACAUUCUUUUAGUAGUUUUAAUGAUAUCAUUAUUACUACCCAUAAUGAGCAUAUCAUCUACAUAAAGACAAAUAAUAACAUACCCAUUCUUAGUGUCAUUGACAAACACACAUUUGUCACACUCAUUUAUUUUGAAACCAUUUGAUAACAUUGCAUUAUCAAAUUUUUCAUGUCAUUGUUUAGGUGUUUGUUUUAAUCCAUAAAGAGACUUUACAAACCGACAACUUUCUUUUCUUGUCCUAAAAUAAUAAAUCCUUCUGGUUGUUCCUUGUAGAUUUCUUCUUCUAAAUCUCCAUUCAAGAAAGUUGUUUUUACAUUCAUUUGAUAUAUUUCUAAAUUAUAUAGCUGCAAUGGCUAUUAACAUCCUAAUCGAGGAUAUUCUUGUCACAGGAGAAUAAGUAUCAAAAUAAUCUAAACCCUCCUUUUGCCUGUAUCCUUUGAUUACAAGUCUUGUUUUAUAUUUGUCGGGUUAAAUGCUUUCUAAAUCACUGUACUAUAGGUCGACUUACAAAUGGGUCACUGAAUUUUUUUUUCUUACAAUCAACUCACUGAACUUUAGUUUAUUAACACAAAGUUACAAAAACUAUUAAGUCAAGGUUGACUUAACGAAAUUGAUGAUGUGGUAGUUGACUUGUCUAAAAAUAACCUAUGUGGCAGUUAGUAUGCGACGUGGCAGUGAAGAUGUGGAUUUGGAGGAAAAUUUUUAUGAAAAAAUUAAAAAAAAAAUUAAGUAUAAUAUAAAUUAUAAAAAUUAGCCAAAAAAACAAGAAAAUAAAUAAAUAAAUAAAAUUAUUUUUAAUAAAAAUUAAAAAAACACAAUUUUUUAUUUUUUAUUAAAAAAAUUAAAACGCAUUUUUUUAAUAAAAAUAAUUGUUUUUUUUAUUUAUUAAAAUAAAAUUAAAACUACAGUUUUUUUAAUAAAAAUAAAUACAAUAACAUAUGUCAAUUAAUCAAACAAAAAGAUAGUAAAAUUCAAAAAAAAUACAUCAUUUUACCAAAAAACAACAUAUAUCAUUUAUUUUAAAUAAAAUAACAUACGUCAAUUAAUCAAACAAAAAGAUAAUAAAAUUCAAAAAAUAAAAAAAUACAUCAUUUUACCAAAAAACAACAUAUAUCAUUUAAUCAAAACAACAAAAGAAAUACUAAAAUUCAAAAUCAAAACACGUAAUAGAUUUACAAAAGUAAUCCCGACCCUCGUCCAAAUGUGCUGCAGAUACCUUUCAAGUUUCUCCCAUUUAUCCAUCACAAAUAAAAAUAUUCAUUUUUAUUAAAUUCAGAUCUAGAUCCAUCUAGAUUUACAUGUGCUCUGACUUGAUUUCAUUCAGAAAUUCUUCGCGGAGAGGGGCGAUAGAGGCAGAGGUCGAGGUGGGGGUGGUGAAUCUGAGUUGAGGUUUGGAUUUGGGUGGAGAAUCUAGGUUGGGGUUUGGAUUUGGUUCUAUCCCGCCUCGCUUUUCUGGACUUGAGCGAUUUGAGUUGAGGUUUGGAUUUGGUUUGGGGUUUGGAUUUGUUUCUAUCCCGUCUCGCUUUUAUGAACUUGAGAAUCUGAGUUGAUGGUUGGAUUUGGCUGAAUAUUUUGGGUAGAGGUUUGGAUUUCUGCACAAAAGAAUCUCGAUUUUUUAUACUUGAGUGAUAACAAACUCAAAUGAAAGAUUCCCACUUUGGAUUGCAGAGAUGGAAGUUGGGAGUAUACAAGCUUACUAGUUCUAUCCGGUCUCAUCUUUUUCAAUCUUUGAGUUCAAAUGCCUUCAAGUGAAUUUUAUUUUAUUUAGUUAAUUAUUACGUGUAUUAGUAAUUUAUUACUAAUCAUCUCAAACAUCAUAGUUCUUGACUCUUGACCUUGUUCUGGAAACGUCUUCAAAUCACUGAUUGAUUGAUUUAUUUAUUAAUAAAAAUAAAUAAAAAUAAAUAUUUUUGAUAAAAGUAAAUAAUUUUUUUUUCUUUUAUUAAAAAAUGUUGUUUUUUAAAAAAAAUUGCAUUUUUAAUAUUAAAAAAACUACAUUUUUUUAUUUUUAUUAAAAAAAUUGCAUUUUUUUUUAUUAAAAAUAUUUAUUUUUAUUAAAAAAAACUGUAGUUUAAAUUUUUUUUAAUAAAAAUAAAAAAAAACCAAUUAUUUUUAUUUAAAAAAAUGCGUUUUAAUUUUUUUAAUAAAAAAUAAAAAAAAACUACAUUUUUAAUUUUUAUUAAAAAUAAUUUUUUUUAUUUUUUUAUUUAUUUUCUUAUUUUUUGGCUAAUUUUUAUAAUUUAUAUUAUACUUUAAAAUAUUUUUUUCUAUUUUUUCAUAAAAAAAUUUCUCCAAAUCUACAUAUUCACUGUCACAUCGCAUACUAACUGCCACAUAGGCUUUUUUUUAGACAAGUCAGCUGUCACAUCAUCAAUUCCGUUAAGUCAGCCUUGACUUAACGGUUUUUGUAACUUUGUGUUAGUAAACUAAAGUUCAGUGAGUUGACUGUAAAAAAAAAAGUUCAGUGACCCAUUUGUAAGUCGACCUAUAGUUCAGUGACUUAGAAAACAUUUAACCCUAUAUUUGUCUAUAGAUCCAUCUGUUUUCAUUUUUUUCUUGAAUAUCCACUUGUAUCCAAGAAGUUUAGAGCCUGGUGGGAGAUCUAUUAAUUCCCACGUAUGAUUAUGCAAAAUGGAUUCUACUUCACUAUUUAUAGCCUCUUUUCAAUAUGGAGUUUCAGGACUCGAUAUUGCUUCUUUAUAGGUUUGAGACUCAUUUUCUAACAUAUAGGUUAGAAAAUCUGAACCAAAAGAUUUUGAUGUUCUAGCACGUUUACUACGUCUAGGUUCAUCAAUAUCUUCUAAACCAUGAUUAUUGUCAUUAACAACAUCAUAAGUUCUUUUAUUUGAAUUUGUUUCUUGUUCGUUAGAACUUGGCUCUUAUUCCUUUUUAUUAGAAAAUACUGUUUCAAAGAAUUCAACAUCUUUUGAUUCAAUAAUCAUAUUUUCAUGAAUUUUCUCUAUUUUUUAUUUAUUAACCAAAAAUCUAUAUGCACUACUAUUAUUAGCAUAACCAAUGAAUAUACAAUCUAUUUUUUUCGAUCCUAUUUUCACCGUUUUGGGUGGAGGAACCAUUACUUUUUCUAAACACCCCCACACUUUUAAGUGUUUAUAAGAUGGCGUACGUCCUUUCCAUAAUUCAUAGGGUGUAACAUUAGACUUCUUUUGAUGUAUUCGGUUGAGAAUAUAAUAUGCUGAAAGAAUUGUUUCCCCCACAAAUUCUGAGGUAGCCCAGAACUUAAUAACAAUGCAUUCAUCAUUUCUUUUAAAGUUCUAUUCUUUCUUUCUGCAACAUCAUUUUGUUGUGGUGAAUAAGGUGCAGUUGUUUGGUGUAUUAUACCAUGUUGUGAACAAAUUUCAACAAAUAGAAAUUCAUAUUCCCCACCUCUAUCACUUCUAACUAUCUUGAUCUUUUUAUUAAGUUGAUUCUCAACCUCAUUUUUGUAAUGUUUAAACAUUUCCAAAACCUCAUCUUUACUUCUCAAUAAGUAAACAUAACAAUAUCUUGUACAAUCAUCUAUAAAAGUGAUAAAGUAUUUCCUGCCUCCUCUUGUCUGUAUAUACUUUAAAUCACAAAUAUCAAUGUGUAUUAAUUCAAGAGGUUUUGUACUUUUUUCAAUUGAUUUAAAAGAAGAUUUUCUAAGUUUUGUCUCAACGCAAAUUUCAUAUUUAUGAUUAGAGUUAAUCUCACAUUUUGGCAAAUAUUCCAUAUUAAUUAAUCUACGUAUAGUAUUAUAAUUAACAUGUCCUAAUCUACCAUGCCAUAAAUUAGAUGACUCAAUCAUAUAAGUAGAAGAUGUAAUUUUAUUAAUAUUGGAAUGUACAACAGUCAUUACAUUCAUUUUGAAAAGCACAUUGCUCAUAUAACUCUUCCCCACAUACAUUCCAUUUUUAGUUAAUACAAAUUUGUCUGAUAUAAAGACUAAUUUAAAUCUCUUUUGACUAACACUAAAUUUUUCCUAAUAACAGGCACGUGGAGCACGUUGUUGAGGGUGAGUUCUUUGCCAGAUGUCAUCUUCAGAAUCACAUUUCCUUGUCCAGCAAUCUUGGAUGAAGAAGAAUUUUUCAUGUAUAGAUGUUCUUCGUUCUCAAUUUCUUGAUAUGUAGAGAACAUCUUUCUGUCGGAACACACGUGGCGGGUUGCUCCAGUAUCUACUCACCAUUCUCUUGGAUUCUCAAUCAUAUUUAUUUCUGAAACAACCGCUUCUGAAACAACCGCUGAAAGGUUCAUUUCAGAAAUAUUUUGAGGAAGACUAUCCACUUUCGUUACAUUGGCUUGUGCAUGAUACAAUAUUAGCAAAUUGUCUCCCAAACUUAUAAAGCUGUGCAAAUCCAAACUUAUAAAGCUGUAACUAAUAUUGGAUUUGUUUCAACAAAACACUGUUUAGCUUCAUUGCUUUCCCGGAGGAAAUAUUUGUAAAGUAAUUAUAAAUAACCUUAGUUAUCAACUUGAUAUAUUAAAUGAAAAAAUUAAUGCAUGUGAUAUAAAUGGAGCCCUUUAUUGUUAUAAAUUUUACUCAUUAAAGGGAACUAAGAGAUUCAUCCCCAUCUUCAGGUAGUCCCAUAAUAUCAGUGGGAUACUUGUAAAAUGGAGAUAAAGCUGUGAAUGCUGUAGAUGCAAGGAUCUUCAUUGCAGGCUCAGUUGGGUGAAAUCCAUCCCAAAAUUCGUACUCGUUCCUGUUUGUGCAUGGAGCUAAUCCAAUAAUACAUAGUCCCUUAUCUUCGAGACCAGAUACUAUAUUGCAGCAUGGUUUGUUUGCUACCUUAAAACCUGAUAUAUAUAUAUAUAUAUAUAUAUAUAUAUAUAUAUAUAUAUAUAUAUAUAUAUAUCAUGGCAAUCAUUAAUUAUAAACUACCAUGCUAAAUCUAAAAUAUGGCAAGAAGUGAUCAUUCACAUGUACUAGUCAUCUAUGUUACUUGUCUAUUUCAAUUUUGAGAAACAUCAUGUUAAUAUCUUCUUCUUCUUCUUUUGGGCAUUUAUGGACAGAAUAAGUCACAUGACUCAAAAUAAAAUUAAGAUUUAAUUUAAAUCAUUUAAGAGAGUAUAUAUCAUUUAUAUUGGCUCCAUUUUUUUCUCGAUCUCUUUUUUCCUUCAUCACGCAUUACUCAUGUGCUUAUAAUUUUCUACAGUUUUCAAUAUAUUUAAGAGUAAAAUUACCCAAUAACAUCACUCCAAUCUAUUAUUACACAUUGGUAGCUGAAAAAUUUUACUUGUAAAAUUUAAGGACGUUAAAGUUCAAUAUUUUAAAAUUGAAAUAUUUGAAUUUAAGUUCUAAAAGUAUUAGAAGUCAAUGUAACACAAUUCUUGAUGAUAAAGAGUGAAAUUAAGUACUCUUACCAGCUUCUGAUGAAUUUUUGUUAGAAUUUGGGGAUAUGUAGAUAAAGUUUGCAUCGAUUAACUUGUUAUUGAGGACUUCAAUUAGCCGAAUAAGCCUGUCAUUGAAUAGGGUGACCGCGUUACCAAUCAUCUCCACACAAGCAGUUCCAUUUGUGCCAUAGGUGUUCAAUUCAGAGGGAAUGCAACCUAAUUCACCAACUCCAAAUACUCCCACCUUCCUUGCUCCAUAGGUGUACAAAGUCUAGUUUAUAUUCAACAAAAAGACAGAAAUAGCUUAAUUUGAAAAUCCUCAAAAAUGUACGGCAGGGUAUAUUAAUUUGAAACUUUCGAACUCAAGUUAAAAUAAAGGAAAGGUAAAGAAAAUGAAAUCUAUAAUUAAUUUAUCCAUAAUCUAUAAAUUUCCUAAAUUUAGCAUACCCUAGUAUUUCUUUGUUAUUUUAUCUGUAAUUGCACAAAUAUUAAUAUUCUAAUUUAAUAUUGGAUGGUCAAAUAUUAUAUUAAUUUGUAUUAUAUUAUUCAUAUAAUUGAUUCAAUAAAAAUUCUUCUAUAAACUUAGUUUUUUUUUUGCAUUUAGAUUCUAAGAUAAAUCUUAAAUAGUACUCCCUUUGUUCUAAAAUUAUAGAUAUAUUUUUUUUGUCAUUUUCUAAAAUUAGAUAUGCAUUUCUAUUUUAAGACUAUAAAGUGACAUGAUAUUCCUAAUUUGCUAUUACUUUCUUACUUUCAUUUUCAAUAUCAAACUACCACAACUAAAUUCCUAAUUGAUACUGAGGCUAGGCUAUAUUUGAGAACAAGGAAUUAUCCUUAAAAGUUGUUGUUUUACAAGUAUAUUCCUAAUUUUCUAAUUUUGGAUAAUAUAAUCCUAUAUAAAACUCACCUAGUAUACAGCGUUAUAGUCUAUGUAACGUUUAUCGGUUUCACGAACCAACGAAACUAAAAUGAAUCGUGUUUUAGGAGACACUAGUAUCAACUAUAUGAAAUUUAUAUAAAUUACUAUUGGGAGAUGGUAAAAUUUAAGGAAUUAAAGAGAAUGAAGCUAGAGAUCGAUCGAUAAAUUAGAAUUCUAGACUGACUGACUGACCAUUAGCUGCUGAGAGUAGUGUUUAAUAAGAAGUGCAGCGUACUGAUCCGGAGUAAAUUGAUGGCUUGACUCAUAGAAUGAUGGGAGAAAGUAGUUGUUAAUAUAAUCGUUGUUUCCCAUACCAACUGUAUAUAUGCAUUUCCUUAGGUGAUCCUUUGAUUUUCUAUUUCCUAGCAAGGCAGCAAUCCGUAAAAUGGUAGUUCUGUGAAAUUGUAACUGCAUAUUAAAGCUGAACCGAUCACCCUGCAGUGAGAAACAAGAAUUAAUAAGUUUGUGCAUUUCAUUAUUUGAUCAACAUCCUGUUUAAUAUAGUUUUGGGAGAGGAGAGAGAAAAGAGAGAAUGAC